Mus spicilegus (steppe mouse) is the source of this 158-nucleotide small nuclear RNA. Its record names the gene U1. It matches the Rfam family "U1 spliceosomal RNA". From Rfam's summary of the family: U1 is a small nuclear RNA (snRNA) component of the spliceosome (involved in pre-mRNA splicing). Its 5' end forms complementary base pairs with the 5' splice junction, thus defining the 5' donor site of an intron. The record is from Ensembl. NCBI's taxonomy places the organism in Eukaryota, Metazoa, Chordata, Mammalia, Rodentia, Muridae.
CAAUUUUGGAAGAGGAGAUAUCAUGGUCAUGAAGGAAGUUUUCCCAGGGCGAGCCUCACCCAUUGCAGUCUGGAUGUGCUGACCCCUGUGAUUUCCCCAAAUGCAGGAAACUGCAUAAUUUGUGAUAGUGUGGGACUAUGUUCUUGCUCUACCCUGAU